GUUUUCCAGGGCAAAGGCAGUUUGUCGGAUAGGGAUGGGGAUGCGUUCCAUUAGGCAGUCGCGGGUAACGGCCCACCGAGCCUACGAUGGAUAGGGGUUCCUGAGAGGAAGGCCCCCCACACUGGGACUGAGACACGGCCCAGACUCCUACGGGAGGCAGCAGUGAGGAAUAUUGGUCAAUGGCGGGAACGCUGAACCAGCCAAGUAGCGUGAGGGAUUACGGCCCUAUGGGUUUUAAACCUCUUUUGUUAGGGGAGCAACCGGUGGCACUAGUGCCAUUCUGCGAGUACCUUUCGAAUAAGCAUCGGCUAACUCCGUGCC
RNAcentral lists this ribosomal RNA (321 nucleotides) under uncultured bacterium. Its description in RNAcentral is "bacterial SSU rRNA". It matches the Rfam family "Bacterial small subunit ribosomal RNA", at positions 191 to 509 of the family's 1533-position model. The record is from RNAcentral.